UGUCAAUAAAGGCCGUUGCAAUGACGUUCAUCUGAAAACGUGAUCCUAGGCCUACAGCCUGUAUUCUUUUCAUGGAUAGGCCUAUAUAUUAUCAUAUAAUAUUGAAUGUCCAAUCGUGCUAUUUUCAGUAAUCAUAUAUAUAUAUAUAUAUAGAAAUACAUACAACGUGUGAUACUUUCCAAUAUCAAUUAUUUAUCCGCUUCACAACAAAUUCAGUUGGCUACAUUCAAUAUAAUUACGUACAAAUUUCUGUUGAUUUAACAUGGUGAAAUAGUACGGCUUGGUCAAAUUAAUGUUGUUCGGUUUGUUGUGUUAGCUGAUAGUAGCCUACCUGGUACCUGUUUCUUGGUGACACCUGUUCUUGGUUACAUGGAUGAAGGCCGGGUCGGGUUGCUUGUGCAGGUAACUCAAGAAGAGGACGUUCCGCUGAAUCAUUCUUCGCGCACAGGGCUGCGAGUUCGGAUUCCGGCAUAGACUGACCUCACCUGGCCAUAACUUUAUGCACGCGGACGCGCAGUGCAAAUUAGCUUAUUGGUCUUCCACAGGACAACCAUAGAGUGUGAGGAGUCUUCAGCAGUCAGUGCAUUGUGGGAGGAGUCUUCACCAAGUGGGAGAAGUUUAUUCUUCAGAAGGAUGGCAGGACCUGGCAUUGCUCUGAGAUUACAUGCGUUUAAAGAGCCCUCAUGUCCCAACGCAGCUGCACCAAAUAGAGUCACGCGUCAGGGGAGGGACACGCUUGGCCUGUAUCCAGGACAACUGGGACGGGUCCAUGUGGCUCCUUCAUCCAAUCACAGAGUGAGGUUUGCCAGCGUGGAGUUUCGCUCCGGUGCUCUGCAGGAGAACCGUGAGGAGCGCUACCCAGAAUCCUUUGAUCUGCAGACGCUGCGUGCUCUCCAGCUUGCCCGUGAGACCAGCGGCAGCCCGCAUGGACGAAGUACCGCCACCAGCCACCAGGCGGCGUUUGGCUCCCUGUCCUGCCUCUACCCUCCGGGUGACAGAAAAUUCACACCAGUCUCACAUCCAGGGCCUCUGAAACGUACGGAUCCAUCUGCAAUACGAAAGCAGCCUGCAGAGGGCGCUUUCUGAACAGCCUAUUUGAGUGCAUUUUCUACAUACAAUACAGUCACACGGCUUGAUACUGUAUUUUCUGAAGCAAUUUGUGGUUAAAUACUUUGUUCAGGGAUACAACGGCAGUGCCCCAGCUGGGAAUCAAACCCACAACCUCAAGCCCAGUUCCUUAACCACUCAACUCUUCCACCACCCAGUCAUAACAAACAAUUAAAACGCUAAAAUAUCUGAUGUACUGUGAUUGGUUAACCCAUCUGGAAUGUUGACACUGAAAUACUGUUGUUUCUGUUUCUAGUGCCAUGUUAUAACCUUGGUAACUGUGGUGAACACAUCAAGACAGGUACAAAGCAGUUUCAAAGUUAGACACUUUUAUUUUCUGGGCUUUAGUUUGGGUAAUUAAAUGUCCAUGUAUCCGAGAGACCCGAACCAUACCAUCAGAUUCAAUGUGGAAGAUGAAAAGUACAAUAAAUUCUUAAAAGGCAAACAUGCAACCGUCUCCAGAAUCACCUUACUGAACCCUGUAUAUAACAGCACUGAGAGCAACAGAAUGUCCAAACACAUCGAUACGCACGCACGCACACACUAGAAUAAGACCGGUCUACAACUCUGCUCCUGGAGAUCUGGUUUUCAUCGUAACUCAGCACUUGAGUUAAAUUAAAGCAAGACACCACACAGGCAACUCACCAGAUCUAGGUUUCUGAAUCUGAACUAGUUGCUCAUUUUCAAAUUAGCAGACUCUGUGGCUCCCCAGGACUAGGGUUGCAGACCACAAAUUUAUCCCUGACUUCUUUUAACCUGUUGUUCUGUCUUCCGACACCAAGGGGGCGAUGCAGAACUUUUGGAAUUAAUCAUUCAGCAGCUGCAGGGGUGUUCAAUCUUUUCCAAAAAAAAAAAAAAUGUUGAUGGGGGUCCAGGCUUUUGUUAAAGCCA
This is a long non-coding RNA of Anguilla rostrata (American eel), 1998 nucleotides long. RefSeq lists it as uncharacterized. The record is from RefSeq and is a predicted model, not a curated record. Lineage: Eukaryota; Metazoa; Chordata; Actinopteri; Anguilliformes; Anguillidae. The transcript has 5 exons.